UCGGGAAUUUUGGGCAAUGGGCGAAAGCCUGACCCAGCAACGCCGCGUGAAGGAUGAAGUAUUUCGGUAUGUAAACUUCGUAAGAAUAGGAAGAAUAAAUGACGGUACUAUUUGUAAGGUCCGGCUAACUACGUGCCAGCAGCCGCGGUAAUACGUAGGGACCAAGCGUUGUUCGGAUUUACUGGGCGUAAAGGGCGCGUAGGCGGUGUGUCAAGUCAGUUGUGAAAUCUCCGAGCUUAACUCGGAACGGUCAACCGAUACUGUCACACUAGAGUACAGAAGGGGCAAUCGGAAUUCUUGGUGUAGCGGUGAAAUGCGUAGAUAUCGGAAGGAACAUCGGUGGCGAAGGCGUCUACCUGGCCUAAUACUGACACUGAGGCACGAAAGCGUGGGGAGCAAACAGGAUUAGAUACCCAAGUAGUCCCUGAGCGGGCUGGCAAGGCGCAU
This 447-nucleotide ribosomal RNA is filed under the name uncultured bacterium. RNAcentral's name for it is "bacterial SSU rRNA". It matches the Rfam family "Bacterial small subunit ribosomal RNA", at positions 355 to 825 of the family's 1533-position model. The record is from RNAcentral.